Molecule: unclassified non-coding RNA, 578 nt
Filed under: Hevea brasiliensis (rubber tree)
Lineage: Eukaryota; Viridiplantae; Streptophyta; Magnoliopsida; Malpighiales; Euphorbiaceae
Source: RNAcentral
UGACUUCUGGAUAAUUUUCCAACUAUUAACAUAUAAUUGAAAAGAUUAAAAAAAAAAAUGAAAAGAAGGCAUUAUAAAUAAUUGCUGUUGCAGAGAUUAAAAUCUCACACAUGUUUAUAUAGUAACUUUGGUAUCUAUAUGAUUGAUUUGCAUCAUCAAGCAUUAACUAAAAGAAAAACUUUAGAAUAAUUAACAUAUUUCUUAAUAUGCUGAUCCCUAGGCUGUGAAAUUAAUUCUGGUUGGCCUAAUCAGAUGCCUCUGCCAUGUGGUCAAUUACGUCAAGAGCACUUCUGCUUAAAAGUUUCAAAUAAUAAAAACAAAACAUAAUAACUGCCACAAUUUCAAUGAAUAACACAUUUCCUCAUUCUUUUGUGGACUUAGAAUGACAAGAUGUUAAUGUUAAUUCAAAGAAGCAAAAGCUUCCUGCUUACCAAAAAAUAAAAAAGAAAAUGACCCCACUAAAUUUGAUGGAUAUUGUGAGAAGGAGAAUACAAAAGUCAAUACUGGAAAUAAUUAGAAAUUGUAAAGGGAGGAUUAAACAAGCGAAGUGUUACCUGGUGUAGGAAUAUAUGUUAUUG